This 204-nucleotide ribosomal RNA is filed under the name uncultured bacterium. RNAcentral describes it as "partial 16S ribosomal RNA". It matches the Rfam family "Bacterial small subunit ribosomal RNA", at positions 1286 to 1500 of the family's 1533-position model. The record is from RNAcentral.
UCCCAGUUCGGAUUGUAGGCUGCAACUCGCCUACAUGAAGUCGGAGUUGCUAGUAAUCGCGGAUCAGAAUGCCGCGGUGAAUGCGUUCCCGGGUCUUGUACACACCGCCCGUCACACCAUGGAAGUUGGGGGCGCCCGAAGUUGGUCGGGAAAUAGAUUACCUAAGGCGAAACCAAUGACUGGGUGAAGUCGUAACAAGGUACC